AAACUUACUAGGUCAGGACACAGUAAGGAUUGACAGAUUGAAAGCUCUUUCUUGAUUUUGUGGAUGGUGGUGCAUGGCCGUUUUUAGUUGGUGGAUUGAUUUGUCUGGUUAAUUCCGAAAACGAACGAGACCUUAACCUGUUAACUAUGUGAUGUUAAAAUUCGACUUCGGUCUCAAUAUUUGAUAUUAAAAAUUUAAUACUUCUUAAAGGAACAAUUCAAACUUUAAUUGAAUGGAAGUUUAAGGCAAAAAACAGGUCUGUGAUGCCCUUCGAUGUUCUGGGCUGCACGCGCGUUACACUGAUAUGUUCAAUGAGUUUUUAAAUUUCCAGUCUGAAAAGACGUGGUAAAACUUAGAAAAACAUAUCGUGAUUGGAAUAGUAUUUUGUAAUUAUCGCACUUGAACGAGGAAUUCCUAGUAGGGGCAAUUCAUCAAAUU
RNAcentral lists this ribosomal RNA (438 nucleotides) under uncultured eukaryote. RNAcentral's name for it is "bacterial SSU rRNA". It matches the Rfam family "Eukaryotic small subunit ribosomal RNA", at positions 1211 to 1637 of the family's 1831-position model. The record is from RNAcentral.